This 273-nucleotide ribosomal RNA is filed under the name uncultured Staphylococcus sp. Its description in RNAcentral is "partial 16S ribosomal RNA". It matches the Rfam family "Bacterial small subunit ribosomal RNA", at positions 89 to 354 of the family's 1533-position model. The record is from RNAcentral. Lineage: Bacteria; Bacillati; Bacillota; Bacilli; Caryophanales; Staphylococcaceae.
ACGUUAGCGGCGGACGGGUGAGUAACACGUGGGUAACCUACCUAUAAGACUGGGAUAACUCCGGGAAACCGGGGCUAAUACCGGAUAAUACAUGAAACCGCAUGGUUUCAUGAUGAAAGACGGUUUUGCUGUCACUUAUAGAUGGACCCGCGGCGUAUUAGCUAGUUGGUAAGGUAACGGCUUACCAAGGCAACGAUACGUAGCCGACCUGAGAGGGUGAUCGGCCACACUGGAACUGAGACACGGUCCAGACUCCUACGGGAGGCAGCAGGC